GAUGAACGCUAGCUACAGGCUUAACACAUGCAAGUCGCGGGGCAGCAUGGGGGUUGCUUGCAAUCCCCGAUGGCGACCGGCGCACGGGUGAGUAACGCGUAUCCAACCUGCCCUUCACCACGGGAUAACCCGGCGAAAGUCGGACUAAUACCGUAUGUUGUCCAUUGACGGCAUCCGAUUUGGACGAAAGGCUUGGCGGUGAGGGAUGGGGAUGCGUCCGAUUAGCCAGACGGCGGGGUAACGGCCCACCGUGGCUACGAUCGGUAGGGGUUCUGAGAGGAAGGUCCCCCACACUGGAACUGAGACACGGUCCAGACUCCUACGGGAGGCAGCAGUGAGGAAUAUUGGUCAAUGGGCGUAAGCCUGAACCAGCCAAGUAGCGUGCAGGAUGACGGCCCUAUGGGUUGUAAACUGCUUUUAUGCGGGGAUAAAGUGGCCCACGUGUGGGCUUUUGCAGGUACCGCAUGAAUAAGGACCGGCUCAUUCCGUG
Molecule: ribosomal RNA, 490 nt
Filed under: uncultured bacterium
Lineage: Bacteria
Description: partial 16S ribosomal RNA
Rfam family: Bacterial small subunit ribosomal RNA
Source: RNAcentral